Long non-coding RNA from Choloepus didactylus (southern two-toed sloth), 449 nucleotides. RefSeq lists it as uncharacterized. The transcript has 3 exons. NCBI's taxonomy places the organism in Eukaryota, Metazoa, Chordata, Mammalia, Pilosa, Megalonychidae. The record is from RefSeq and is a predicted model, not a curated record.
CUUCCAUCAUGCUUGAAAGACUGCUCAGCCUCAGCCAAAGUUUGUCCUUAAAGAUUCACAUGCAAGGAACUCCAGUGAAGCCAGGAUUGGUUUCAUUUGGUUGCAACUCAACACCUGACUGAUACAGGAACAAGUAGAGCAAAACUUCCCAGAUCACAGUUUUGCUCACAGCUGCAGGUGGAAACGGUGAACCAUCCACAGAUGGGCCUCCUCCUGUUCCAGCCCCUUAAGCCGUGGGGUAUCUCCGAGGAUGGGGAUCUCAAGUAAGCAACACAAGAGGACAGUUUCAACCAGCUCACCCAUAUCAUGAACAAUCAUGAGAAAAAUACUUUAAAACAGACCAAAAAAAAAAUCAAUUUGCUUAGUGUAAUGUGCUCGCUCCAUCAUUCUUUUUUUAAAGAAAUAUGUCCUCACUGGUUGACAGGGACAAAUUCUGCCCCCCUCCCACU